Non-coding RNA from Cricetulus griseus (Chinese hamster), 1334 nucleotides. The record is from RefSeq and is a predicted model, not a curated record. Lineage: Eukaryota; Metazoa; Chordata; Mammalia; Rodentia; Cricetidae.
GUAUUCUUGGUGCUUAAACCUCACUACACUUCUGACUGUUGAAAAGGAAGGUUUUCAGACAGGAUGUGUGUCCUAGGCUCCUACUGAAUAGUAAAAACUGUGUGACCUUCGAAAUUAUCAGUGUUCUAGCUUUCUGAGGAUUUGAGUUGUGGGCAAUUUCCAAUACUGCUUAUGGACCAGCUAGCUUGAACACCUUCUUGAUGGGCAGGAGCCUGACAUUAAAAGAAGAUGCACAUAAAACAAAUCUAAAAAAUAAAUUUUCCCUCAGUAUGUAUAGGACCUUUAGCAGACACAUUUUCAUAUUUUCAUGUAAACUACAUACAGCCUCCCAUAUACUUCAAGAUAUUUUCUAGAUGUGUUUUAAUGCCUAAUGCAUGUAAACAUUUUGUAAAUGAUGGUUAGGGUAUAUUUUUAGGGAUUAGGAACAAAGGAAAAAGUCUUUAGAUGUACUGUCCAGAUACAAUUAAUUUAUGUAUAAUUUUUAUUUUAAGUUGUUUAAAUUCACACAUCUCACAGAUAAGGAGAUCCUACUAUGUGUUAUAUGUGCUCAUAUAUACAUUAUGAAUGUGAAUGUAUUUUGUGACCUAUAUGUAUUUAAGACUAUCAACAUGAAAAAGUAAGCCUCGGUGUGUGAUGGUUGUCACUUGACAACAUUGGUUGUCAAUUUGACCCAUCUGGGAAGAUGGAACCUCGAAAGAAGAACUGGCCAUUGGUGACCUGAUCACAUCUGUGAGGAUAUUCUUCUUGAAUGCUAAUUGGUGUAGACUCAGCCUACCAUUGAGGGAAACCGAGGCACCACACGUCCAGAAACUGGAGACAUGAACUGCAGCAGAGACCACAGAGGAACACUGCUUACUGGUUUGUUCUGCAAAGCUUGUUCAGCCUGCUUUCUUACACAGCCCAGGACCACUUGCCCAAGGUUAGCACUGCCCACAACAUGCUGGGCCCUCCCACAUCAAUCACACUGAUCAAGGAAAUGCCACCUCGGACUUUGCAUACACAAUAAGCUGGUGAAGGCAUUAUCUCAGUUGAGGUUCUUUCUUCCUGUAUGACCCAAGCUUGUGUCAAGUUGUCAAAAACUAAUGAGCACGGUGUCUGUGUAGUGAAAGAAGUGAUGAAAAGUCAGUUUCCUAAAGCAGUUUCCCCAGCAUUUUUACUUCGCACCAACUGCCCAUGCGUGUAAACCCAGACAACUUCUCUGGGAGGCAACCCAUGUUCAUUAACUCAAGUGACUUAACACAUCACGUUGACUAGUGUUCUGAUAUUAGUUUCCAAUUCCCAAUAAUAGUUGUCCAAUGCAUGGAUCAAUGAAUAAACCAGAAUUUUGAAUUUGA